AGGUUCUUGACAUCCCGAUGCUUAUUUCUAGAGAUAGAAAGUUACUUCGGUACAUCGGUGACAGGUGGUGCAUGGUUGUCGUCAGCUCGUGUCGUGAGAUGUUGGGUUAAGUCCCGCAACGAGCGCAACCCCUAUUGUUAGUUGCCAUCAUUCAGUUGGGCACUCUAGCGAGACUGCCGGUAAUAAACCGGAGGAAGGUGGGGAUGACGUCAAAUCAUCAUGCCCCUUAUGACCUGGGCUACACACGUGCUACAAUGGUUGGUACAACGAGUUGCGAGUCGGUGACGGCGAGCUAAUCUCUUAAAGCCAAUCUCAGUUCGGAUUGUAGGCUGCAACUCGCCUACAUGAAGUCGGAAUCGCUAGUAAUCGCGGAUCAGCACGCCCGCGGUCGAAUACGUUCCCGGGCCUU
This 409-nucleotide ribosomal RNA is filed under the name uncultured Streptococcus sp. RNAcentral's name for it is "bacterial SSU rRNA". It matches the Rfam family "Bacterial small subunit ribosomal RNA", at positions 976 to 1382 of the family's 1533-position model. The record is from RNAcentral. Lineage: Bacteria; Bacillati; Bacillota; Bacilli; Lactobacillales; Streptococcaceae.